RNAcentral lists this ribosomal RNA (635 nucleotides) under uncultured Pseudomonadaceae bacterium. Its description in RNAcentral is "SSU rRNA". It matches the Rfam family "Bacterial small subunit ribosomal RNA", at positions 146 to 776 of the family's 1533-position model. The record is from RNAcentral. Lineage: Bacteria; Pseudomonadati; Pseudomonadota; Gammaproteobacteria; Pseudomonadales; Pseudomonadaceae.
ACGUCCGGAAACGGGCGCUAAUACCGCAUACGUCCUGAGGGAGAAAGUGGGGGAUCUUCGGACCUCACGCUAUCAGAUGAGCCUAGGUCGGAUUAGCUAGUUGGUGGGGUAAAGGCCUACCAAGGCGACGAUCCGUAACUGGUCUGAGAGGAUGAUCAGUCACACUGGAACUGAGACACGGUCCAGACUCCUACGGGAGGCAGCAGUGGGGAAUAUUGGACAAUGGGCGAAAGCCUGAUCCAGCCAUGCCGCGUGUGUGAAGAAGGUCUUCGGAUUGUAAAGCACUUUAAGUUGGGAGGAAGGGCAGUAAGUUAAUACCUUGCUGUUUUGACGUUACCAACAGAAUAAGCACCGGCUAACUUCGUGCCAGCAGCCGCGGUAAUACGAAGGGUGCAAGCGCUAAUCGGAAUUACUGGGCGUAAAGCGCGCAUAGGUGGUUCAGCAAGUUGGAUGUGAAAUCCCCGGGCCCAACCUGGGAACUGCAUCCAAAACUACUGAGCUAGAGUACGGUAGAGGGUGGUGGAAUUUCCUGUGUAGCGGUGAAAUGCGUAGAUAUAGGAAGGAACACCAGUGGCGAAGGCGACCACCUGGACUGAUACUGACACUGAGGUGCGAAAGCGUGGGGAGCAAACAGG